UACGGGGGGGGCAAGCGUUGUUCGGAAUUACUGGGCGUAAAGGGCUCGUAGGUGGUCAACUAAGUCGGACGUGAAAUCCCUCGGCUUAACCGGGGAACUGCGUCCGAUACUGGAUGACUUGAGUUCGGGAGAGGGAUGCGGAAUUCCAGGUGUAGCGGUGAAAUGCGUAGAUAUUGGGAAGAACACCGGUGGCGAAGGCGGCUCACUGGCUCGUUUCUGACGCUCAGGCGCGACAGCGUGGGGAGCAAACAGG
Molecule: ribosomal RNA, 253 nt
Filed under: uncultured bacterium
Lineage: Bacteria
Description: partial 16S ribosomal RNA
Rfam family: Bacterial small subunit ribosomal RNA
Source: RNAcentral